CAUGGAAGACAACAUACAGUGCUGUGCAUUUCUCAUUUUGGUCAAGUAUUGUAUAUUUAUUACUUAAGUUCUUUCGGCCAAAAGUUGAUGGACCACAGUGCAUAUGUUUUUGAGUCAAUAUGUGCCGCUAAAACGUACAAUUUUCCCUUUGAAAUGAAACCGAUGGUGGUUUUAUUGAUGAUGAGAAGUAAUAUAGUUUGCAGACUCUCAGCUGGAAAACUUUUUUUCAUGACUCUGGAAAAUUUUGCUAAUGUCAUGAAGACAUCCUUCUCAUAUUGUACAAUCCUUUUGUCACUGCAAUAAUCCAUUGAUAAUUAUAGUAACAAUAGCUGUCACUACUCUUAAUUAAUAGUAUUCAAAAUAGAUAUAUUCUUGUAAGCGCACAAAUUAAAUAUAACCGG
Cotesia glomerata is the source of this 401-nucleotide long non-coding RNA. RefSeq lists it as uncharacterized. The transcript is spliced from 3 exons. The record is from RefSeq and is a predicted model, not a curated record. Lineage: Eukaryota; Metazoa; Arthropoda; Insecta; Hymenoptera; Braconidae.